Molecule: ribosomal RNA, 465 nt
Filed under: Vreelandella stevensii
Lineage: Bacteria; Pseudomonadati; Pseudomonadota; Gammaproteobacteria; Oceanospirillales; Halomonadaceae
Description: partial 16S ribosomal RNA
Rfam family: Bacterial small subunit ribosomal RNA
Source: RNAcentral
CCUACGGGGGGCUGCAGUGGGGAAUAUUGGACAAUGGGGGCAACCCUGAUCCAGCCAUGCGGCGUGUGUGAAGAAGGCCCUCGGGUUGUAAAGCACUUUCAGUGAGGAAGAACGCCUGGUGGUUAAUACCCAUCAGGAAAGACAUCACUCACAGAAGAAGCACCGGCUAACUCCGUGCCAGCAGCCGCGGUAAUACGGAGGGUGCGAGCGUUAAUCGGAAUUACUGGGCGUAAAGCGCGCGUAGGUGGCUUGAUAAGCCGGUUGUGAAAGCCCCGGGCUCAACCUGGGAACGGCAUCCGGAACUGUCAAGCUAGAGUGCAGGAGAGGAAGGUAGAAUUCCCGGUGUAGCGGUGAAAUGCGUAGAGAUCGGGAGGAAUACCAGUGGCGAAGGCGGCCUUCUGGACUGACACUGACACUGAGGUGCGAAAGCGUGGGUAGCAAACAGGAUUAGAUACCCGAGUAGUC